This 241-nucleotide ribosomal RNA is filed under the name uncultured Acanthamoeba. Its description in RNAcentral is "partial 18S ribosomal RNA". It matches the Rfam family "Eukaryotic small subunit ribosomal RNA", at positions 97 to 279 of the family's 1831-position model. The record is from RNAcentral. Lineage: Eukaryota; Discosea; Longamoebia; Acanthamoebidae.
CUCACUAAAUCAGUUAUAGUUUAUUUGAUGGUCUCUUUUGUCUUUUUUUACCUACUUGGAUAACCGUGGUAAUUCUAGAGCUAAUACAUGCGCAAGGUCCCGAGCGCGGGGGAGUGGGGCUUCACGGCUCUGUCCUCGCAUGCGCAGAGGGAUGUAUUUAUUAGGUUAAAAACCAGCGUAGUCAGCAAUGGCUACAAACUCCCCUGGUGAUUCAUAGUAACUCUUUCGGAUCGCAUUCAUG